Molecule: ribosomal RNA, 194 nt
Filed under: uncultured bacterium
Lineage: Bacteria
Description: partial 16S ribosomal RNA
Rfam family: Bacterial small subunit ribosomal RNA
Source: RNAcentral
ACGCUCGACACCUACGGCAGCAGUGGGGAAUAUUGCACAAUGGGGGAAACCCUGAUGCAGCAACGCCGCGUGAAGGAAGACGGUUUUCGGAUUGUAAACUUCUGUUCUUAGUGAAGAUAGUGACGGUAGCUAAGGAGCAAGCCACGGCUAACUACGUGUCAGCAGCCGCGGUAAUCUGAGCGGGCUGGCAAGGC